Molecule: long non-coding RNA, 1575 nt
Organism: Gambusia affinis (western mosquitofish)
Lineage: Eukaryota; Metazoa; Chordata; Actinopteri; Cyprinodontiformes; Poeciliidae
Exons: 3
Source: RefSeq, a predicted model, not a curated record
AAAAGGCAAGAAACCAAAAAAGCUAAAGAUGACGCCGGUGAGCAAACAGAACAACAACGCCGCAAAUUCAAGUUCAUUGUCAGUGGAAAGAAGACUCUGCAUUAUGGGGACUGAUUACAGAAAGGAGGAGGAAAUUAUACUCGAAGGGAUUUAACAAAUUGUGAGGGAGAGAGGACCUUUCCCACUACCGAAAAGAAUAUAAAAUGAACUCAGGACAAGCACAAGAGACUUUCUGGAGUGUCUUUGAUGGCCAUCAAGUCCAAGCUGCUGAGGGAGCUGAACUUUGAGGACUUUGUUCGCAAACUUUGCGAGGAAAAAUAUCAGUAAGGAACUUCUGAAAGUAAAAGACCUUUGAGACCUCAAACUGCCAAAUGAGUUGAAUUAUGGCCAGUUAUGUGGAGUGGACCCAGCAUCACGGGGGACAGGCUUUAGUCAGUGGAACUAACUACACUCCUGACCAUUAAAAGGCAGCCUGACACCACCUCUUCAUCUCCUGCCUGCUCGAAAAGGCCAGCAGUGCAAACCCCGUGUCCCCAAGCUAAGACAAAGUGUAGCAGUCCGACCAAAGAGCCAGGCAGUGCACUUCAGCUCUCAUGUCCUCGUGUUCAAACUUUGACCUCUCUUGCUCUGCACAAAAAGACAUGAUCUGAGCAUGAAGUGCGUCAUUUUCACCUGCAAGCAUGUCAUAUUGUGUUUGCUUGUGUUGUUGCCUGGAACUCCUGCCAGUUGUGGAGCACUCGAUUGUCCUACGGAGAUUUUCAACUACCUGGCCGAGUUCUUCGUUUUCCUUCUCCAAUUUUUCACACGGGGUGUCCAGAGAAGUUCUGUCUGUAAGAAGACUAUCCAGAUCAGCCACUGUCAGCCAUUUUUUAAAUUCAGUCAACUGUAACUCUGAACAACUGUACCUAUCCUCACAACUUUUGUUCUUCAGUCAACCUGAAAUGUAGAACAAAUGAGUUGCUCUUUGGAAUUUGGAAAUAAAGGGAGAUGGAUCACUGAGAUCCAUGCAUGCGUAGGGAAAACAUGCAAACAUGCACAAAGAACCCCACCGAGAAUCUGAAUUAGGAGCUUCUUGCAGCAAGUGCUACCAACUGCGCCACUGUCCAAUUCAUCUAAAUGUCCUUUUUAUGUUCAGUACAGUAUCAAACACUCGAAAUGUAUUUAUUAGCAAUUGAUUUUGUUCAAAAGCAACCUCUUACUUAAAAUAUGUCAAAGAUUAAAUUCAUAUUGUUCACAAACUGCAGAAAAAAUAUUCAGAAAAUCUACAAAUACUUCCUGUUGUGACACUACUGCUAUCUGGGCAUAUAACUUGAUGAAAACCAAGCUAUAUGCUCAUGUAAUUCUGAAUUAUUGAAAUGAUGCAUUAAGUGUGUUUUACUUACAAAGCCUGUAUACAAAAUGUACCAUUGCAUUUCUCAGAUCUUUGCAGGUUCAUAUGCAAUCUGUAUGGAACUUGGUGCUUCUGUUUUCAGGAUGUGGAUAAGCAUCCGCUCCAUCUGCCAUUUCUCCUUCUUUCCUUCCUUCCUCCUUUCCAUCCUUUACAAAUUAAAAGGCUUAAGAUCUGCUAGGAAUGCU